GGGCCCGCACAAGCGGUGGAGCAUGUGGCUUAAUUCGAUGCAACGCGAGGAACCUUACCUGGGCUAAAUCCACAGUGAUGUCUUCUGGAAACAGGAGGUCCCUUAGGGGCACUAUGGAAGGUGCUGCAUGGCUGUCGUCAGCUCGUGUCGUGAGAUGUUGGGUUAAGUCCCGCAACGAGCGCAACCCUCGUCCUAUGUUGCCAGCACGUAAUGGUGGGAACUCAUGGGAUACUGCCGGGGUCAACUCGGAGGAAGGUGGGGAUGACGUCAAAUCAUCAUGCCCCUUAUGUCUUGGGCUUCACGCAUGCUACAAUGGCCGGUACAGAGGGCUGCAAUACCGCAAGGUGGAGCGAAUCCCAAAAAGCCGGUCUCAGUUCGGAUUGAGGUCUGCAACUCGACCUCAUG
This 405-nucleotide ribosomal RNA is filed under the name uncultured bacterium. RNAcentral's name for it is "bacterial SSU rRNA". It matches the Rfam family "Bacterial small subunit ribosomal RNA", at positions 917 to 1322 of the family's 1533-position model. The record is from RNAcentral.